AGAUUGAACGCUGGCGGCAGGCCUAACACAUGCAAGUCGAGCGGUAGAGAGGUGCUUGCAUCUCUUGAGAGCGGCGGACGGGUGAGUAAUGCCUAGGAAUCUGCCUAGUGGUGGGGGAUAACGUUCGGAAACGGACGCUAAUACCGCAUACGUCCUACGGGAGAAAGCGGGGGACCUUCGGGGCCUCGGCGCCAUUAGAUGAGCCUAGGUCGGAUUAGCUAGUUGGUGAGGUAAUGGCUCACCAAGGCGACGAUCCGUAACUGGUACUGAGAGGAUGAUCAGUC
RNAcentral lists this ribosomal RNA (284 nucleotides) under uncultured soil bacterium. RNAcentral describes it as "partial 16S ribosomal RNA". It matches the Rfam family "Bacterial small subunit ribosomal RNA", at positions 26 to 309 of the family's 1533-position model. The record is from RNAcentral.